GCUCAGAUUGAACGCUGGCGGCAGGCUUAACACAUGCAAGUCGAACGAAGUGUUGGUGCUUGCACUAACACUUAGUGGCGAACGGGUGAGUAAUACUUGGGAAUCUGCCUUGUAGCGGGGGAUAACGUUUCGAAAGGAACGCUAAUACCGCAUACGUCCUACGGGAGAAAGGAGGGGAUCUUCGGACCUUCCACUAUAAGAUGAGCCCAAGCGAGAUUAGCUAGUUGGUAAGGUAAAGGCUUACCAAGGCGACGAUCUCUAGCUGGUCUGAGAGGAUGAUCAGCCACACUGGGACUGAGACACGGCCCAGACUCCUACGGGAGGCAGCAGUGGGGAAUAUUGGACAAUGGGCGAAAGCCUGAUCCAGCCAUGCCGCGUGUGUGAAGAAGGCCUUCGGGUUGUAAAGCACUUUAAGCGAGGAGGAAUGGCUUCUGGGUUAAUACCCUUGAGCAGUGGACGUUACUCGCAGAAUAAGCACCG
Molecule: ribosomal RNA, 480 nt
Filed under: uncultured Gammaproteobacteria bacterium
Lineage: Bacteria; Pseudomonadati; Pseudomonadota; Gammaproteobacteria
Description: bacterial SSU rRNA
Rfam family: Bacterial small subunit ribosomal RNA
Source: RNAcentral